Molecule: ribosomal RNA, 253 nt
Filed under: uncultured bacterium
Lineage: Bacteria
Description: partial 16S ribosomal RNA
Rfam family: Bacterial small subunit ribosomal RNA
Source: RNAcentral
UACGAAGGUGGCUAGCGUUGUUCGGAAUUACUGGGCGUAAAGGGCGCGUAGGCGGCCUUCUAAGUCGAACGUGAAAUCCCCGGGCUCAACCCGGGAACUGCGUCCGAUACUGGGAGGCUUGAAUCCGGGAGAGGGAUGUGGAAUUCCAGGUGUAGCGGUGAAAUGCGUAGAUAUCUGGAGGAACACCGGUGGCGAAGGCGGCAUCCUGGACCGGUAUUGACGCUGAGGCGCGAAAGCCAGGGGAGCAAACGGG